Non-coding RNA from Manis javanica (Malayan pangolin), 1358 nucleotides. NCBI's taxonomy places the organism in Eukaryota, Metazoa, Chordata, Mammalia, Pholidota, Manidae. The record is from RefSeq and is a predicted model, not a curated record.
AGACUAGAGUAACAUUUUGUAUAUGGGCAACCGCUUCCCUAUCCAUUCAUCUACUGAGGGCCCCCUAGGAUGCUUCCAUACCUUCGUAGUUGUAAAGAGGGCAGCAAUAAAGAGAAAGAUGGUAUUCUCACUUGCAGCUGGUGUAUUUUAAGUGAUUUACCAAGUAUUCUGCUUAACUCACUCUGUAUUAAAUUUCAGAUGUUUAAGAACUGAAAGAUUUGCAACAACGUGGAUGGGGCUAGAGGGUCUUAUGCUCAGUCAAUUAUGCCAGGCAGAGAAAGACAAGCAUCAGAUGAUUUCACUCAUCUGCGGACCAUAAGAACAGAAAAAAACUGAAUGCACAAAACAGGAGCCGAUUCACAGGACCCGAGAAUGAACUAAGAAAUACGAAAGAAUGCCCGCGUUGGCUCCGGCGCCUGGGCUAGAGGCGGGUGGGCAUUGUUUGCUGGCGGCGCGGGAUCCCACGUUGCUAGAAGACGGCGCGCGCAUGGUAACCCGCGGCUCGCGGCUCAGACAACGCCAGGCCGCGGUGCCCCCAUCCCCCCGCCACCCAGCUCAGCCAGCGCGGCCCGCCCCCGGCACCAGGUAUCAUUGAUAUACACUGCUCUGAAGCUUUCACAAGAAACCUUCAAUGUGGGUACUACCUUCACCCAUAUUAUCAAGCUCCUCUGUACCCCAUUGCGGUCCCGGUCCAUCAACAUAGCACGAUGCCACGAAGUCCGUUCUUUUCUUCUCUGAGCUACGUUGUUUCCCCGUGACCCCACACACACCAGGCGCGCCAAUCAUAAUACCCUUGAAUCCUCUUCUCUCUGCCAUAACAAGCCCCUCUUGUAACCGCUGAUGGCUUCUUGGAGUCUGUGAGUCCUCUGCUGUUUUUUUCCUUCAGAUUUGCUUUGAUAUAAUAGCCCACAAAUGAGGGCAAUCAUUUGGUACUUGUCCUUCUCCCCCUGGCUUAUUUCACUGAGUCUGGCUCCAUCCAUGUUCUUGCAAAUGGUAGGAUCUGUUUCCUUAUUAUGGCUGAAUAGUGUAACAUUUUGUAUAUGUGCAACCUCUUCUCUAUCCAUUCAUCUACUGUGGGCCCGUUAGGAUGCUUCCAUACCUUGGUCGUUGUAAAGAGGGCUGCAAUAAACAGAUAGAUGGUAUUCUCACGUGAAGCUGGUGUAUUUUAAGUGAUUUACUAGGUAUUCUGCUAAACUCACACUGUAUUACAGUUCAGAGCUUUAAGAACUGAAAGAAAGAUUUGCAACAACGUGGAUGGGGCUAGAGGGUCUUAUCCUCCGUCAAAUACGCCAGGCCGAGAAAGACAAGCAUCAAAUGAUUUCACUCAUCUGCGGACCAUAAGAACAGACAAAGCUGAA